This 358-nucleotide unclassified non-coding RNA is filed under the name uncultured Madurella. RNAcentral's name for it is "sequence contains ITS1". The stretch from base 1 to 105 matches the Rfam family "5.8S ribosomal RNA", at positions 50 to 154 of the family's 154-position model. The record is from RNAcentral. Lineage: Eukaryota; Fungi; Ascomycota.
GAAAUGCGAUAAGUAAUGUGAAUUGCAGAAUUCCGUGAAUCAUCGAAUCUUUGAACGCACAUUGCGCCCGCCAGUACUCUGGCGGGCAUGCCUGUUCGAGCGUCAUUUCGACCAUCGAGCCCCCGGGCUCGCGUUGGGGAUCUGCGGCCGCUCGCAGGCCCCGAAAACCAGUGGCGGGCUCGCCGUCACCCCGAGCGUAGUAGCGUCCGUUUCUCGCUCCGGGGCGUGGCGCGGGACCCGGCCGUUAAAGGGGCGCGGGAGCUAGGCGGGAGCACGCCUGACAGCGUGCUCAACCCACCGCCCCGAUAUAUAUACCCAGGUUGACCUCGGAUCAGGUAGGAAUACCCGCUGAACUUAA